Molecule: non-coding RNA, 30 nt
Filed under: Mus musculus (house mouse)
Lineage: Eukaryota; Metazoa; Chordata; Mammalia; Rodentia; Muridae
Source: RNAcentral
UGCAUUGGUUGGUAAAGUGCUAGGCUUAGG